GCAUAUCAAUAAGCGGAGGAAAAGAAACCAACAGGGAUUGCCCUAGUAACGGCGAGUGAAGCGGCAACAGCUCAAAUUUGAAAUCUGGCGUCUUUGGCGUCCGAGUUGUAAUUUGCAGAGGGCGCUUUGGCAUUGGCAGCGGUCCAAGUUCCUUGGAACAGGACGUCACAGAGGGUGAGAAUCCCGUACGUGGUCGCUAGCCUUUACCGUGUAAAGCCCCUUCGACGAGUCGAGUUGUUUGGGAAUGCAGCUCUAAAUGGGAGGUAAAUUUCUUCUAAAGCUAAAUACUGGCCAGAGACCGAUAGCGCACAAGUAGAGUGAUCGAAAGAUGAAAAGCACUUUGGAAAGAGAGUUAAAAAGCACGUGAAAUUGUUGAAAGGGAAGCGCUUGCAGCCAGACUUGCCUGUAGUUGCUCAUCCGGGUUUUUACCCGGUGCACUCUUCUACGGGCAGGCCAGCAUCAGUUUGGGCGGUUGGAUAAAGGUCUCUGUCAUGUACCUCCUCUCGGGGAGAUCUUAUAGGGGAGACGACAUGCAACCAGCCUGGACUGAGGUCCGCGCAUCUGCUAGGAUGCUGGCGUAAUGGCUGUAAGCGGCCCGUCUUGAAACACGGACC
Molecule: ribosomal RNA, 614 nt
Filed under: Epicoccum nigrum
Lineage: Eukaryota; Fungi; Ascomycota; Dothideomycetes; Pleosporales; Didymellaceae
Description: partial large subunit ribosomal RNA
Rfam family: Eukaryotic large subunit ribosomal RNA
Source: RNAcentral